AGUGAAGUACCUAAAAAAGGGUAAUCUUGAUAGGAUUAAUUAUGUGGGAAUUAUAGCCCCACCUCCGCUA
RNAcentral lists this transfer RNA (70 nucleotides) under Utra nitida. RNAcentral describes it as "tRNA-Ile". Lineage: Eukaryota; Metazoa; Arthropoda; Insecta; Coleoptera; Cerambycidae. The record is from RNAcentral.